RNAcentral lists this long non-coding RNA (11576 nucleotides) under Malus domestica (apple). RNAcentral describes it as "long non-coding RNA (MDOM_LNC008892)". Lineage: Eukaryota; Viridiplantae; Streptophyta; Magnoliopsida; Rosales; Rosaceae. The record is from RNAcentral.
AUCUGCUGUUCAACUUGGAUGGAUCUGACAAACUUCGCAAGGAAGUACAAUUGUCUACAUCUACAUGUAAUUUGCUAUUAGAUGGAAGAGGUGGCAAUUUUUGAAGGCUUUUGCACCUUUCCAGAUCAAGAUACGAAAGCUUAGAAAGGCAUCUAAUGCUUUCAGGUAGACUGACGAAAUUAUUUCCACUAAGAUCCAAUCUUUCCAGAAAGGACAAGCAGCCAAUAUCAUCGGGGAUAUCUCCUUCACGGAGUUUACAAUCUUUUAGAGAUAACUCUGUUAACUCUGUCAAAGAGCAUAAACUAUUUAGAGAAGACAACACCAAAUCCAAACAAGGAGGAUCAGGACGACUCUUUCCAAGUCCUAGUAAGCGGAGAAGGCCCCACCCCUCCCUUGCUUUAGCAUCCGAUCCGUUACAUAAGUUAUCCAUGUCUCUUGGGAGUUUGUCAAUUUUUGAGCAUCCUUGCAUUCGGAGUCUUCUAAGAGACUUCAAAUUACAAAUAGUCGUCGGAAGGUUCAAGAGAUAUGAGCAACCAACUAGACACAACUCCUGGAGGCCAACCAAAUGUCCAAUUGAUGAAGCUAUUUUCUCUAUCAGAGUCGCACUUAAGUCAAUCGAGGACACAUUCUUCAUCUGCUCCCCAAAUUCUGGAAUCUUUUUCACAUCUGAGUUGCUAAGACUUAAAGAUUCCAGAGAAUCCAUUUUAAGCUCACUUGGGAGGCUCUCAAGUUUUAAGUAGCAUUCAAAAUUCAAGUUCAAGUUUUUUAAGAUGUGCAAUAGACGGGUGUAUCUCAACUAAAUUGAAACAACCUCGAAGAUUCAACUUCACAAGAUUUGGAACACCACUGAAAUCCGGGUACUCUUCAAUUUACCUGAGUUUCUAAGAUCGAUCCAUCUCAAGUUGGGCAAGUCCUGUACAACAUCGAUAAGAUUCAGAUCAUAUAAAUAAAUAAAUAAAUGAUUAUUUUGUAUAUUAAAUAGCAUUUAUUCAAGGAUGAAUAAUAAUUAUGUACUCACUAGUGAGUACUCUAUAUGCUCAUUUUUGUUUUGGUUCUUGUUCUUUAUUUUUAAAGCCCAAGAAAAAUUAAAUAGCAUGUCCAUUAUUUUUGAAAAUAAUAAAAUAUACUUGUCCAAAAAGUGAGUACUGAUUAGUCACUACCCAAGUGGUAUCAUUUUAUUCAACACUACUCUCAUCACUUUUUUUUUUUUUUAAUGGUAAAAAUACUACUCUUACCACUUUUCCCUCCCAUAACCGAACAAGACUGCUUCCAUACAUGUGAAGUUCAGUAAGGUGGCGCAUGGGAAAGUUGGUUGGAAGAAAAUUAGAAGGAUAUUGAAACCAGUAUAUAUAUCUCAAUGAACACGGAAGAAAUUUAGGGCCUGAAGAAAAGAAAACUUGAUCGAUUGUCAAAAUCCUCAAUCUAUCCAUCUUAGAGAAGGCUUCCCAAUUCCACUCGCGUUUCACAUAUGUUAUAGGCAUGUGUAAUGAUAUGACUUCAAUUGCACUCAAACCCUGACAAUUAAGAAAAAAAGACAAAUUAAUUUCACAUUCAAGUAUAUUAGUGUCAAAAGUUCAUUCAAACUUGGUAUUUUACUUCUUACCAUAUUGGUCGCCAUAUUGGUCGUGAAUACAUGAGAAAUGUCAUCGUUAAGCCACAACCUACUGCGUAGACCAGACUCUUUAGACCUGUGACCAAUAAUUGUCCAUGCCAUUUCUUCUAUCAAAUCAUGCAUCCGUAUGCAUUUUUGGUGAUCUUGAUAGAGGAGAAAUCUCUCAAUUAGUACAUCUAUCACAAUAUGGCUAGAGAUUCCAAAAGAAUUAGAACUAUCUAGACUUUCAAUUACUUGCUUCCUGUAAUACCCUUUGUAGAAACAUGCAACAUCGAGAAAAUGCUCUUCUCCCACUCUUCUAGUGCAUCAUAACUUACUUUAAGUUUAUCAAAAAUAGCUGGAUUAGGAAUUUUUGAUAGAUUAUCCCGUACACUAUGCCAAGCAUCUAGCCCUCUCUUAAACAAAGCCGACCCCAAAGUUUCAAGAGCUAAUGGAAGGCCUCCAGCAUGAUUGUCAUAACAUUCAUCAUAAUUAUCAAUCACAUUAUUAAAAAGAUAGUUAAACACACACACACACACACACACACAUAUAUAUAUAUAUAUAUCACAAUCUUCAUCAGUGCACGAGCCAAAUCCUAUUUAAUAAGCAUAUGAUGGCUAUAUAUAUAUAAAUCACAUUUCAAUAAAAAUCAUAUUUAUAAGACUAAUUCAUAUUCACAAUUGAUACCAAAUAAGAAAUUCAGAUAAUAAACAUAUCUCAUAUAUUCAAGUCACUAUCUAACUAACAUAGGUCCACUGGUCACGCACCGUCGCAUGAGCCGCUGCGGGUGGCGGUUGACUGCCCCGACUCACCGGAAAAAUUCAACUAUCUUUAAAAAUUACCAAAAAUUACAUAAAUGAAGAUCUCAAGGAGUAGAGCAAACUUUAUACCUGUGGCCAAGUCUAAUUUGGCCGGGAAGGCCCUCAAAUUGGCUCGCACCCGUCGAAACCCUAAAGUGGGUGUUCUUCAAUUUGGCUCCCUUGGUGUUCCAACGCCCCAACCACCAAUUGGGUCUUGUUCUUGGGUCCAAGGGAAGUUGAUUAAGGGUGAUGGUGAAUGGUGAUACUCACCAGAAUGACGAAUCGCCGUCAAGAACCCCCGGUUUUUCGGUGGAGUUCUACUCGAAUUAGACCUUAAAAACCCUUGAUUUUUGGUGGAGAUGGAAGGAGGAAGGUAGCUGAGUAGGUUGCAGGUGAUGAAUGGGUGCAAAACGCCUAAAAAAUGAAGGAUUUUGGCCUGACAUUGGCUGGAUCGAAACCAUUUUUUUCAUGGGUGCUUGGGUUUACAAAUUUGGGGGGGGGGGGGGGGGAGGGGCAUCCUUUCGCUCAUUUUCUUUUCUUCUCUUGCCACUCCCGUGGCUUUCUUUUUUUUUUUUUUUUUUUUUUUAAAGCAACACAACUUCAUACGUCCGUAACUAUACUGUUAUAAUCCGGACUCGCAAACGGUUUUCGCCUAUGCGUUCAUGACUUCAAGACCUAUUCGAAAACGUUACUUGUGACCUCGAAAAGUCAACGAGUAAAUAAUAAUUUUCCAAACUUCGCUCUUCAUAACUAGUUUAAUUGAAAUCUAAUUUCAAAUAAAUUAAUAUAAAUUCUCGAAAAAAUAAUAUAAAUCUCAAUAAUACAAAUACGUAGAUUAUAACAGUAAAAUCCAAGAAUGGGAUUUCACGUCUUUACCGUUAGAGACACCGUUAUAUCUUGGAGAUCUACCAAGCAAACGCUAGUUGUGACUUUGUCGAACUAUGCUGAGAUUUUCGCCCUGCAUGAAGCAUCGCGUGAGUGCUUUUGGUUGAGAGAAGUCAUGGGACAUAUUUGAAGCAUUAGUGGUCUUACAUCAGUCGUUGACCCUCCUACGACGAUCUUUGAAGACAAUGCAACAUGUAUCGAGCAGUUAAAGAAGGGAUACAUCAAGGGAGACAACACCAAGCACAUAACGUCGAAGUUCUUUUACUCACACCAACAGCAGCAGCAGCAUCAAAACAUUGAAGUCAAGCAAAUCCGUUCCCAGGAGGAUAACUUGGUCAAUCUCUUCACCAAGUCAUUGCCCAAGUUUACUUUUCAAAAGCUUGUCCAAGGAAUCAUUAUGCGUAAAUUAUCUGAGUUAAAUCGCAUGUAGUUCUCUUAUUUAGAAGUUAUGGCUAGCUCAGGGGGAGUAUCUAGAAGCAUACUUACAUGAUCUUAAUGUACUCUUUUUCCUACGAUUAGGAGCAUUUUUUUCCACUGGGUCUUUGCUACCUAACGAGGUUUUAACGAGGCACCCAUCCUGGGAUGAUCAUACUCCGUUGAGUUCACUACUUUCGUCCUGUUUGACAUUUGUUUUAGAUAUUAUGCAUACUUCUCACCUUUCUCCUUAAUCUAUGGGUUUUCCUCGUGCCUUGGGUAUUACCAUAGUUAGGUUUUGUGAGUUUUACUACAAAUGCAUACUUCCUUAAACUUGAGACUCGCGAUCACCCGUUGUGCCAAUGACUUCAUCAACAAUUCUACCUUAUCGCUGAAUAUCUAAUGCGAUGUUUGUUGAGUAUUUACACACUCAAGGGGGAGUGUUGCAGUCAUAUUUAGAAUAAGAAUGUGAUUGUGUAAAUCCUUAUAGUUAUGGGAAUGUAUCUUAUAUUCCUAUUAAUUAUGAGUUUAUUAUCUAUUAAAUGUUGUAAUCAUAAAAGGAAAGGUUUACCUAUUCUACUACUAUAAAUAAAGGCACAAUGAGGUAAAUUAAACACACCUCACAAUUAAAUCACUCUCUCUUCUCCCUCACUACCUCCGGCCCAUCUCUCUUUCUAAACCCUAAGAUCGUUCAAUCAAAUAGGCCUACAACAAAAACUAGUUUCUUGAGCUUUCAAAAUUUGUAUUUUGAGCUUUAAUUUUAGUUUCUAAUCAACACCAUGACACAAGCCAUAAAGUAACAAAACCAAUAAAAUGUCAACUGAAAACGUUAUAUGUGAAAAAGAACAAUGAAUUACAUGAAAUGAAAACGUCAAAGUAGGCAUGUAGUCAACCUAUGUUGUCACGCCACAAAUUAAAGUACAAUGCGAGCUGGUGACAAAUUUGAGCCACACCGCGGUAAUUCAUGCAAUGUAAAUCUCUCUCAAAGAAGCAACAAGAAAAUCCUCAUGCAAGAGUUCUCCACUUUCUUACUCGUUCAAGAGGAAAGCUGAAAGGACAAGUAUUUUCCAAAAAAAAAAAAAAAAAAGGUGGAAGACAGACUAUGGAAAUUUUCCAGGAAGCAAGAGUUUAGAGUAAGUUCUCAACUUUCUUCUGAGAAAAGAUAUUCAUGUCUCUUUUUCUUUUCUCUUCAGUGAUGCUAAAGCCAACUAGUUAUCUUAUUUCUACAGCCACUUUCCAAUACUUGUUCCAAAGAUUUUCCACAAAAAAAAGUAGAAGACUGACUACAAGGAAAAUAUUUAUGUCACCCACCAUGAAAUUUGUAUAUAGGUUUUUUUCACACAUCUGUUCAUUAGGUCCACUAACAAUGUUGAAGUCAUUGUGGAAUAUGCUGAGAUUUCCCCUGUCAUUUAGACAAACCUUCUCAUGGUUACACCCUACCCCCAGCAAUUGGCAAUAUCAAAUCUGAUAAAACUAGUCAAACAAAUGACAAGCCUUCAAUGCAAGCUGCAAUGUAAGAGUUGAGUUGAAAUGAUCCAUACAUCAAAUAAAAUGAUCAUUCAUAAGAAUCAUGAAACCUAGGCUAAGUUCCAUGGGCUCUUAAGGUCCCUCAUCAAAACAUAGAAUAACCACUGCAUUUGGAUGAUGGUAUUUAAAGUUCCAUGAAAACAAGGCUACACCUUCAGAAACGCACUACAAAAAAAUAGAUAGAGGGGCUUCAAAAUGACUAGAUGCAAACAUUUGAGAGAAAUUUCAAAUGAUACCUUGAAAGUCCUUUGUUGCGUGUCAUUCUACUGCACUACUUGUGUUUUAGUAGUAACUUUGUAGUGCUUUAGUAUAGUUUAUCAGUAGUGUUCUUGUAGUGCAUCUUUAACAAUUAAGUCUAAAGUUUGUCCCUCAUUCAAAGACAUAACAAAACACCACAACUCUAAGUUAUAUACAAAAAACACUUCAAGAGCUCAAUGAAGAAAAAAAAACUUGUCUAUCCACUUGUCAUGCUCUAAUUGAUUCUUAGUUGGAAAAUCCUUCUCCAUCAUCAAGUAAGUUGGUUUUUUUUUUCUUUUCUUUUUUAACUAUUGGGUUUGAAGUGGUUUUCUCUAAAGAUCAAGUAUCGUCAUCUUCCAGGAGAAUCUACUCACUAAAUUCGUUAUCUCUUAUAAGAAGUAAUGCUAGGAAGACAAAAUUUAUAGACUAUAAUUGCAAACUAAAUGAUGUGUCACUAAUAAGAAAUGAGCAUGUUUAUCAACGUUUAAGUAAUAAUUCAAUCAUCAACUUCCAUGUCAUUUAGUUUACAAAACUUAGUCUACAAAUUUAGUCUUUCUAACAUUACUCAUCUUUAAGUUAGGAAAUGAACGAAUUAGUUUUAAAAUGAAAGCGAAAUAUGGUACAACAGAGUUUACAUAGUUUCUACUUCUUUAUACGUACACCAGUUUCUACUUCUUUACACAGUCAAAAUCAAUAAAAUUAACAUAACGAACCGUCGAUGAAUGCCCCGUCACUAAAACGCAGCAUAACAUAUGUCAUAUCUACUGCUUUCCUAGUAAAACCGACAUCUUUAUGGCCACAAACUUACAUGAAUCAACUUCAUGAAAUCUAAUUUCUGAUGAUCAAUAGAAUUCAAUUGUUAUGUAUGUGAUAUCGGCAGGGUUGGAUCAACCGGAGCUUGAAUUUUUCGUUAAGAUCGAACAUAACUGAUUUUUCUGAUUUGCAGUGCCCUUUUAUUAAUGGCAGAACUGAUUCUAUUGUCUAAACCCCUUUGUCUAAAGUAUUGUAAUGAGCAGCCACGGGUACGACACUAUCUUCAAGUGGUGAUAAUCUUUACCACCUUAUUUAGCCAUUUUGGAGAAAAAGUAUUUGAAAAUUAAAAAAAAAAAACAAAUAAAGGAUGAGGUGAAAUUGGCCAGCUCAAUAAUUUUCUUCCCUUUUUUUGAAGCGCAUUCCGGAAACUUACUAAAAAUUUGGGUAAAUUUAUAGACAAGAAACAGUAAUGCAACUUGGCACAAAUAGCAGGAUUUCAAAAACCAAAAGCUGAAUUACUCACUACAAUCCAAUGUCUUCAGGAUUUUAGCAAUUAAUUAUGUCACUAAAUUAAUUGAGCUAUUUCCACGGAGGCUCUACGAAUUAUAAAUUAAUCGGACAUUGUACAAUUACAAAAGGAGCCACCAUGCGCCUCAGAUAGUGUUAUUUGAGAUAGAAUCUAUUAUACUUUGAUUGGUGAAGACAAUGAAAUAACGGAAUAUGUGAAUUGAAAAUGAAUUGAACAUAUGACUCAUUAUCUCUUAGUUCAAGAAGAGACCUGAAAACCUUAGUGACCCAUGUACCACCUUACAACCGUAGAAAAGAAAAACAAUCGUACGGGACAAAGACAAUACACAAUUCUAGAUAUUUCAGUAAUCAAAACAUAAGUUUCUGUGCAAGAGGUAACCUUUUAUAGUCCUUUUGAAUCAUGUGCCCUGCUUCAGUUCCCUUACCAAACUGGAUAAAAGUCUUAUCCAAGGCAAUCCCUCCUAAUCCUGUGUUACAAACGGGUCCAAAAUACUCCAUCCAAGUUCUGCCCAUCACCCAAACAAGCAGGCCCAGUUCUUGUGCGACAUAGCUAACUUUUUACUUGGGACCUAAAAUUGGGUUUCAGUCGAUCAGUCAAAUGGGGCAAUUUUCCCUAUCAAGUCGCUCCGUCUCCCAGUCCCUCUCUCUCAUUUAUUCGACUGGUUGAAGCUUUCAAGUAUCAAGAUUGGCAGAAGCAUCCGCAGAAAUCCAGAUGGGAAGAAAAUCCUGGUACUACUCUAUCACUGCUUCUCUACAAUUUUCCCGGAAAGUUUCUGCAUUUGGGUUUACAGCAAUGCAUUCAUCUCGUCCAUUUCUCUUCUGUGUCCUUUUCUUUUUCGUCUCCAACCUCAGUUUCCCUUCGCUUUCUGUCCCGUUCUUGCCUGCGACGAACAAUAACCUCACCCUCUUAGGCGACGCUUCCAUCACCAACAACGCCAUUAGUCUCACUAAAGAACUCACCACAUGCCCCUCCUCUUUCCCUUCUGCUUCUUCUGGCGUUGGAAGAGCAUUUUACGCCUACCCAAUUCGGUUUCUUGACUUGAAAACCAACGCCACUGCCUCUUUCUUGUGCCGAUUCUCUUUCUCAAUCACUCCAAGUUCCCAAUUGUGUUCUUCUGGAGAUGGCAUUGCGUUUGUGAUCACCCCCGAUGUUGAUUCUCUGGGAUCAUCCAGAGGUGGAGUAUAUGGGACUUCUGGAGCCAUCCUCAGUGUCAAAAGAAUAGUUCUUCGCCAUGGAAUUCGAUCCUAGGUUUGAUCCUAUGGUUGGUGACACCAAUGGUAACCACAUUGGUAUUUAUGUGAACACGGUUGUGUCUGUUGACUGUGUUGAUGUUGUGUCAAGAGGAUUUGAUUUGACAAGUGGGAGGGAGAUUACUCCUUGGAUUGAGUACAGAUGCUGUCAAGCUGAUUCGGGUUUGGGUUGGAUACUCUUGAACUAGGCCUCCAACGUCUCUGCUUAAUGCUCCGAUUGACCUCUUCAACCAGUUCAUGGGUGUCGGUUUCUCUGCCUCGAAUGGGCAGGGCUCUUCAAUUCAUAUUGUUGAUAGGUGGAGAUUCAAGACUUUCAGGUCUCUUCCACCUGGGAUUCUUACAGAUACCUUUGAGGAAGGGGACUGCUUCAUGUGCUCGUCACCAGAAGAUUCAAGUACCAAAAGCAGCCCUGAAAAUCGCUGCCAUGAAAGGAAAACAAAGACAGUGGAGAUGGCUCUUGGGUUGGGAGGUUUAGCUACAUAUGUUGUCUCCAUACUCACGUUUGUUUUUGUCAUUUGUUUUGUGUGUGUGAAGAAGAGAAGGGUCGCAUCAGCUAAGGUUUGUAAAGGGUCUUUGCCCUCUGAGGGAGAAGUGGCAGUGAAAAGGUUUGAGAGGGCUGAUGGGAUCGGUAGUCUGCGUAAUCCUUUCACCACGGAGUUUGCAACUAUGGUGGGUUGUUUGCGGCAGAAGAAUUUGAUUCAGCUUCAUGGGUGGUGUUGUGAGGGUAAUGCGUUAGUCCUGGUGUACGAAUACAUUGCCCAACGGAAGUCUCAACAAAGUUCUCCACAAAAGCUUCAAUUCAGCAGUUGUCCUAUCCUGGAAGCAAAGACUUGAUAUAGUUCUCGCAGUCGCUUCUGCUCUUGCAUAUCUUCACGAGGAGUGUGAGAGGCAAAUAAUUCAGAGAUGUUAAAACUUGCAACAUAAUGCUCAAUGCAGAUUUUAACUCCAAACUAGGGGAUUUUGGUCUAGCAGAAGUGUAUUGAUCACAGUUCCAUCAUUGCAAGAGAAGCAACUAUACCAGCUGGAACAAUGGGAUAUCUUGCUCCAGAAGACGUUUAUUCAGGUGUUCCAACAGUUAAAACUGAUGUUUACAACUUUGGUGUGGUGGUGUUAGAGGUGGCAACGGGAAGAAAGCCGGUGGAGGAUGAUGGAACAGUGGUUGCUGAUUGGGUUUGGAGCAUGUGGGAAAAUGGAAAACUGAUUGAAGUUGCUGAUCUGAGGUAUAUGGGGAAGUUUGAUAUGGAAGAAAUGGAGAGGAUGCUAAUGACUGUACUUGCUUUUGUGCACCCAAACCAUGUGAAGAGGGCAACGGUGAAGGAAGCUGCAAGGAUUCUUAAAGGCAAAACCCCUCUUCCUCUGCUGCCACCAAGAAAACCAAGGGUAAGCCUUCGCCCCGUUUUUCCUGAUGACUGAAGAAAUCACAUUUUGCUGUGGUGUUUGGCCAAGUCUCGAACUUGAUGAUGUACAAUAUACUGAUUUACGGGUUUGUCUGGUUUUUGCGGAAGGACCCUUUGGAAACUGAACAGAAAAGGUAAUGCUGUUUCUGGACCGCACCACCAGUUUCCAUUAGUUACAAAAACAAACUGAAACAAGUCAAUUCUUCCUUUCUAUAAAAAUUUGAAAUAUAAGUCCCUGAUGUUAACAUUAAAGGUGUUUUCAGAAAAUGAACCUCAAGAUUAGCAAUGACAUCAAGCAAGAUAAAUCACAAGGAAGAAACAUAGAGGCCAACUCCACGGCGCUAGGAUAGUACUCCUCGUACUUCAAGUCCAGCUCCUCCAAUUCCUCCCAAGCUUAUGAUGGGGACUGGUUUUACAGUGAACUGAAAUGAAAUUAAAAAAUGAAAAACUCUUUGUUAGUGUUAGAUUUCUGGAUUAUAAUAUUUUAGAUUUUGUAAGGAAGAAGAAUUUGGAAUUGGAUUUUUGGGUUUUGGAUUUUGGAUUUUCUGGCAAGAGCAGAAUUGCAGAGAGAAUUUCAGAUGAAAUGACACUUUUUUCAUUCACACAAUGAGGGUGGCCUGUCACCAGUCAACAAGAUAUAAUCCUAACUAUCCAAAUAAGUCAUCCUAUGAGAUGCUUACACAUGGUAUGAGCCAUGGCUUCUUCAAAUAAGACAACUAUAAAACUAAUGGUACACAUGGACAAUGAUCCGAUGGUCCACAUUACAAGCUCAAUAUCAAAUUCUAUAUCAAUCUUCUUAAGGAAUUAUUGUUGACACUCUAAAAAUCUCAUUUUACAUUCUAAACUUUCUAUAAUUAAAAAAAAUACACUUGUGAAGAGUAUAAAAUGAGAUAUUUGAAAUGCUAAUAACAGUUCUCUCUUCUUAAUGCAAUCAGCAAAAGUGUUUAUUCAUCAACAUUCUUAUCCACUCGCCUUUCAAUAAAUAUGGUCAUCUUGAUAUAUAUAGCUUGUGAGAUUUGAGUCAAUUGACUAAAAUAUUUUUAAAAACAAUUAAGUUGAUGAGAUAAACCGACGGUGACUUACCUACAUUUAUUAUAAGAUGGUGACAAACAAUGCCUUUUGCGGAUUUGUUUUGUGUCGUUGAAGCUCACACUUCCAAAUCCACUUGGAGCUGCCUUGUCACAAUAUUCACGUGUUCGUUUCAGGAUUUUGUGUUUGGUUGAGUUCUUCCAAAUCUUGCUUGUAUAGCAAACGAGCCCCACACUUCUUCACACGAAUCCAGUAUACUUUUUCUCCUUCCCUACUAACACCAUCAAAGUAGGUUUCGAAUAAAAACUCAUCUUGACAACAAUCUCGACGAAGCAAAUAGAAUACCCAAAGGUGUUCUGACUCUAGAGACCUUAUUUUUUUGGUCCAAAUCCUAGGGCCAUCCAUAUAAGAAAAACACCGAAUUUCGAAAUAAUCAUAGAGAUGAAGACCAGCUAGAAUGACCCAGUUUGGCGUAAGAUCUUGAAAAAGAACACAAAAGGCAAUCCCCAGCCAGUUGGUACAUGAUGGUGGAGGAAGCUCCACAUUUACUGAAUGUCCCACACUCUGAAUACUGAACCACUUUGGAAUUUCACUUCCAGGGCAUAACAUACCUCUCAUAAAAUUUGAGAUUCCCUGUAGUAGAAGAAAUAUCAAUUAUUUAGAGAGAGAGAGAGAGAGAGAGAGAGGGAGAGAUAGAAGAUCAAUUAUUUAGAGAGGAGGGGGGGGAGAGUACCUCUUGAUCAGUGGCAAAUUUUAGAAUCCUUGAGAGUAUUGUAUUAAUCCAGCCUUCAUUUGGAACCAAUGCAAUGCAAUUCAGGCAAGUGAAAUUAAAAUCAUACAAAUUGGCGAAUCUGCUAUUCAACUUGGAUGGAUCUGACAAACUUCGCAAGGAAGUACAAUUGUCUACAUCUACAUGUAAUUUGCUAUUAGAUGGAAGAGGUGGCAAUUUUUGAAGGCUUUUGCACCUCUCCAGAUCAAGAUACGAAAGCUUAGAAAGGCGUCUAAUGCUUUCAGGUAGACUGACGAAAUUAUUUCCACUAAGAUCCAAUCUUUCGAGAAAGGACAAGCAGCCAAUAUCAUCGGGGAUAUCUCCUUCACGGAGUUUACAAUCUUUUAGAGAUAACUCUGUUAACUCUGUCAAAGAGCAUAAACUAUUUAGAGAAG